GACGAACGCUGGCGGCGUGCCUAAUACAUGCAAGUCGAACGCUGAAGAGAGGAGCUUGCUCUUCUUGGAUGAGUUGCGAACGGGUGAGUAACGCGUAGGUAACCUGCCGUGUAGCGGGGGAUAACUAUUGGAAACGAUAGCUAAUACCGCAUAACAAUGGAUGACACAUGUCAUUUAUUUGAAAGGGGCAAUUGCUCCACUACAAGAUGGACCUGCGUUGUAUUAGCUAGUAGGUGAGGUAACGGCUCACCUAGGCGACGAUACAUAGCCGACCUGAGAGGGUGAUCGGCCACACUGGGACUGAGACACGGCCCAGACUCCUACGGGAGGCAGCAGUAGGGAAUCUUCGGCAAUGGGGGCAACCCUGACCGAGCAACGCCGCGUGAGUGAAGAAGGUUGUCGGAUCGUAAAGCUCUGUUGUAAGUCAAGAACGAGUGUGAGAGUGGAAAGUUCACACUGUGACGGUAGCUUACCAGAAAGGGACGGCUAACUACGUG
RNAcentral lists this ribosomal RNA (497 nucleotides) under uncultured bacterium. RNAcentral describes it as "partial 16S ribosomal RNA". It matches the Rfam family "Bacterial small subunit ribosomal RNA", at positions 28 to 507 of the family's 1533-position model. The record is from RNAcentral.